RNAcentral lists this long non-coding RNA (199 nucleotides) under Solanum tuberosum (potato). RNAcentral describes it as "long non-coding RNA (STUB_LNC005545)". Lineage: Eukaryota; Viridiplantae; Streptophyta; Magnoliopsida; Solanales; Solanaceae. The record is from RNAcentral.
AAUUGUCUUCUUUUUAAUUUAUUCUAUUUCGAUAAGUAGAAUUUUAUGUAAUCAAGAAAGAUAUCAAAUAGCUACCUAUUCUAUUUUAUAUUAUUUGUCUAUUUUUUUUUUGGUAUACAUACUCUUUAAGAAAUCAUAAAUACGAAGUAUAUUUUUCUUAAAUCAAUUUACCUUUUAACCCUUUUUAAUACAAUGAUUU